RNAcentral lists this ribosomal RNA (216 nucleotides) under Glomeromycotina sp. RNAcentral describes it as "partial small subunit ribosomal RNA". The stretch from base 40 to 216 matches the Rfam family "Eukaryotic small subunit ribosomal RNA", at positions 686 to 864 of the family's 1831-position model. Lineage: Eukaryota; Fungi; Glomeromycota. The record is from RNAcentral.
GGGUCAGUAGGUUGGUCGUGCCACCGGUACGUACUGGUCUCACUGAUUCCUCCUUCCUGAAGAACCGUAAUGCCAUUAAUUUGGUGUUGCGGGGAAACAGGACUGUUACUUUGAAAAAAUUAGAGUGUUUAAAGCAAGCUAACGCUUGAAUACAUUAUCAUGGAAUAAUGAAAUAGGACGAUCGAUCCUAUUUUGUUGGUUUCUAGGAUUGACGUA